This 301-nucleotide ribosomal RNA is filed under the name uncultured bacterium. Its description in RNAcentral is "partial 16S ribosomal RNA". It matches the Rfam family "Bacterial small subunit ribosomal RNA", at positions 509 to 807 of the family's 1533-position model. The record is from RNAcentral.
CAGCAGCCGCGGGAAUACGAAGGGGGCUAGCGUUGCUCGGAAUGACUGGGCGUAAAGGGCGCGUAGGCGGUUUUGACAGUCAGAUGUGAAAUUCCUGGGCUUAACCUGGGGGCUGCAUUUGAGACGUCAAGACUAGAGUGUGAGAGAGGGUUGUGGAAUUCCCAGUGUAGAGGUGAAAUUCGUAGAUAUUGGGAAGAACACCGGUGGCGAAGGCGGCAACCUGGUCCUUGACUGACGCUGAGGCGCGAAAGCGUGGGGAGCAAACAGGAUUAGAUACCCCUGUAGUCCCUGUCUCUUAUAC